RNAcentral lists this ribosomal RNA (701 nucleotides) under Bacillus sp. SKS37. RNAcentral describes it as "bacterial SSU rRNA". It matches the Rfam family "Bacterial small subunit ribosomal RNA", at positions 635 to 1335 of the family's 1533-position model. Lineage: Bacteria; Bacillati; Bacillota; Bacilli; Caryophanales; Bacillaceae. The record is from RNAcentral.
GGGGAACUUGAGUGCAGAAGAGGAGAGUGGAAUUCCACGUGUAGCGGUGAAAUGCUAUAGAGAUGUGGAGGAACACCAGUGGCGAAGGCGACUCUCUGGUCUGUAACUGACGCUGAGGAGCGAAAGCGUGGGGAGCGAACAGGAUUAGAUACCCUGGUAGUCCACGCCGUAAACGAUGAGUGCUAAGUGUUAGGGGGUUUCCGCCCCUUAGUGCUGCAGCUAACGCAUUAAGCACUCCGCCUGGGGAGUACGGUCGCAAGACUGAAACUCAAAGGAAUUGACGGGGGCCCGCACAAGCGGUGGAGCAUGUGGUUUAAUUCGAAGCAACGCGAAGAACCUUACCAGGUCUUGACAUCCUCUGACAAUCCUAGAGAUAGGACGUCCCCUUCGGGGGCAGAGUGACAGGUGGUGCAUGGUUGUCGUCAGCUCGUGUCGUGAGAUGUUGGGUUAAGUCCCGCAACGAGCGCAACCCUUGAUCUUAGUUGCCAGCAUUCAGUUGGGCACUCUAAGGUGACUGCCGGUGACAAACCGGAGGAAGGUGGGGAUGACGUCAAAUCAUCAUGCCCCUUAUGACCUGGGCUACACACGUGCUACAAUGGACAGAACAAAGGGCAGCGAAACCGCGAGGUUAAGCCAAUCCCACAAAUCUGUUCUCAGUUCGGAUCGCAGUCUGCAACUCGACUGCGUGAAGCUGGAAUCGC